RNAcentral lists this ribosomal RNA (289 nucleotides) under uncultured bacterium. Its description in RNAcentral is "partial 16S ribosomal RNA". It matches the Rfam family "Bacterial small subunit ribosomal RNA", at positions 29 to 334 of the family's 1533-position model. The record is from RNAcentral.
AACGAACGCUGGCGGCAUGCCUAACACAUGCAAGUCGAACGGGAAGCUCGCUUCGGUGAGUGGAGAGUGGCGCACGGGUGUGUACCGCGUGGGAACCUGCCUCGGGGGUUUAGGAUAACGGCUGGAAACGGCCGCUAAUACUGAAUACGCCUUAAGAGGGAAAGAUUUAUCGCCCUGAGAGGGGCCCGCGUAUGAUUAGCUAGUUGGUGGGGUAAAGGCCUACCAAGGCGACGAUCAUUAGCUGGUCUGAGAGGAUGAUCAGCCACACUGGGACUGAGACACGGCCCAG